AGUGGUGCGACGAACCAGGGCUUGCCCUGGGGCCAAGCCGCGAACGGGUGAGUAACACGUGGGUAACCUGCCCCGAUGACUGGGACAACCCGAGGAAACUCGGGCUAAUACCGGAUGUUGCGCACAGGCAUAAGCCUGUGCGCUAAAGGAAGCUUCGGCCUCCGCAUUGGGAGGGGCCCGCGGCCCAUUAGCUUGUUGGUGGGGUCACGGCCUACCAAGGCAACGAUGGGUAGCUGGUCUGAGAGGACGAUCAGCCACACUGGGACUGAGACACGGCCCAGACUCCUACGGGAGGCAGCAGUGGGGAAUCUUGCGCAAUGCGCGAAAGCGUGACGCAGCAACGCCGCGUGGGGGAAGACGGCCUUCGGGUUGUAAACCCCUUUCAGGAGGGACGAAGGUUCACCGGUGAAUAGCCGUGUGGAUUGACGGUACCUCCAGAAGAAGCUCCGGCUAACUACGUGCCAGCAGCCGCGGUAAUACGUAGGGAGCAAGCGUUGUCCGGAAUCAUUGGGCGUAAAGCGCGCGUAGGCGGCCCUGUAAGUCCGCUGUGAAAGUCAAAGGCUCAACCUUUGAAAGCCGGUGGAUACUGCGGGGCUAGAGUCCGGAAGAGGCGAGUGGAAUUCCUGGUGUAGCGGUGGAAUGCGCAGAUAUCAGGAGGAACACCAAUAGCGAAGGCAGCUCGCUGGGACGGUACUGACGCUGAGGCGCGA
This 710-nucleotide ribosomal RNA is filed under the name uncultured Actinomycetes bacterium. Its description in RNAcentral is "bacterial SSU rRNA". It matches the Rfam family "Bacterial small subunit ribosomal RNA", at positions 60 to 756 of the family's 1533-position model. Lineage: Bacteria; Bacillati; Actinomycetota; Actinomycetes. The record is from RNAcentral.